Molecule: ribosomal RNA, 194 nt
Filed under: uncultured bacterium WkB46
Lineage: Bacteria
Description: partial 16S ribosomal RNA
Rfam family: Bacterial small subunit ribosomal RNA
Source: RNAcentral
CCUACGGGAGGCAGCAGUCGAGAAUUUUUCUCAAUGGGGGAAAACCCUGAAGGAGCGACGCCGCGUGGAGGAUGAAGGUCUUCGGAUUGUAAACUCCUGUCAUUAGGGAACAAUUGUCAGCCAGUAACUACGGCGGACUUGAUAGUACCUGAAGAGGAAGAGACGGCUAACUCUGUGCCAGCAGCCGCGGUAAU